Molecule: ribosomal RNA, 4678 nt
Filed under: Triticum aestivum (bread wheat)
Lineage: Eukaryota; Viridiplantae; Streptophyta; Magnoliopsida; Poales; Poaceae
Description: partial small subunit ribosomal RNA
Source: RNAcentral
AACGCACUCCCUCCUCCUCCUCCGCUCCUCCCUAGGCAGCUAGCCUCUCCGCCUCCCUCCCCUUCCGGCCAGCCAGCCACCUCGCAAUUCCCUGAACCUGCGCCACCGCGGGGGCAAUGGAGUCCACCGGCGCUGCCAUCUCGGCGCCGUUCGGCUGCCGCGCGUUGCGCUGGGCCGGGCAGCGGCCUCUCCGGCCGGCCGAUGCCAGGAGAAGGCGGGUGGGUCCGGGCCCCGGGCCGGAGCAGUGGAGGAGCUUGAAGGCGAGCUGUGUGGCCACGGAGAAGCCCGACGAGAAGGCGGCGCCGGGGCUGGGGGUAGACUUCGCCGACGAGGAGGACUACGUCAAGGGCGGCGGCGGUGAGCUGCUCUACGUGCAAAUGCAGGCCACCAAGGCCAUGGAAAGCCAGUCCAAGAUCGCCUCCAAGCUGUUGCCUAUAGCUGAUGAAACUUCAGUGCUUGAUUUGGUUAUCAUUGGCUGUGGUCCAGCCGGCCUAUCUCUGGCUGCAGAAUCAGCAAAGAAAGGACUCACUGUUGGUCUCAUUGGCCCUGAUCUUCCAUUCACAAACAAUUACGGUGUAUGGGAGGACGAAUUCAAAGAUCUCGGCCUGGAGAGCUGUAUUGAGCAUGUAUGGAAGGAUACUGUCGUGUACCUUGACCGUAACAAGCCGAUAAUGAUUGGCCGAGCAUAUGGCCGGGUGGACCGAGACUUGCUGCACGAGGAGUUGCUGAGAAGAUGCAAUGAAGCUGGUGUUACAUACCUCAACUCAAAGGUUGAACAGAUAAAAGAAUCUCCAGAUGGACAUCGAGUGGUAUAUUGUGGAAGGGGCCGCAAGAUACUUUGCAGGCUUGCCAUUGUUGCAUCUGGAGCAGCAUCUGGUAAACUUCUAGAGUAUGAGGUUGGAGGACCACGUGUUUGUGUGCAGACUGCAUACGGUGUAGAAGUCGAGGUUGAAAGAUAUCCGUACGAUCCCAGCUUAAUGGUUUUCAUGGACUACAGAGAUUGUUUCAAAGAGAAGUUCACACACCCUGAGGAAGCCAAUCCAACAUUUCUCUAUGCCAUGGCCAUGUCAUCUACACGAGUUUUCUUUGAGGAAACAUGCUUAGCUUCAAAAGAUGCAAUGCCUUUUGAUCUCCUUAAGAAGAGGUUGAUGUCUCGGUUGGAUGCGAUGGGAGUUCGUAUCAUAAAAGUAUACGAGGAGGAGUGGUCUUAUAUUCCUGUUGGAGGAUCCUUACCUAACACAGACCAGAAGAAUCUUGCAUUUGGUGCUGCAGCGAGUAUGGUCCAUCCUGCAACUGGAUAUUCGGUGGUCAGAUCUUUGUCUGAAGCUCCUAGAUAUGCUUCUGUGAUAUCUGAUAUCUUACGAAAUCGUGUCUAUUCUGGACAAUAUUUGCCUGGAAGUUCUGAAAUGUCCAGUCCAUCAAUGCUUGCAUGGGGAACACUAUGGCCUCAAGAACGGAAACGUCAGCGCUCAUUCUUCCUCUUUGGAUUGGCCUUGAUAAUUCAACUGGAUAACGAAGGCAUUCAAACAUUCUUCGAGAGCUUUUUCCGGUUACCCAAAUGGAUGUGGCGAGGAUUCCUUGGUUCGACGCUUUCGUCAGCGGAUCUCAUGCUGUUUGCACUCUACAUGUUUGCAAUUGCGCCAAACACUUUGCGAAUGAACCUCGUCAGACACCUCCUCUCGGACCCGACUGGUUCGGCAAUGAUCAGGACCUACCUGACCUUGUAAAACCAUUUGAUGACUAGUCUGCGAGAAAUCUAGAAAGUGUACAGUUUUGUAGUUGUACAUAACAUAGUUAGAGAUGUUGGGGGAUAUCACCUGCCAUGUGUUGCCUCUGCCUAUGCCUAGUAGUGGAGUAAAGCGUGGAUCUUGUAUAGUUGAAGUGGCCAUGGUUUAAUUUUAGGUUUGGUCUGGGUCAAGCUUCUCCGGGUGCCAAAAGUGGGAGCGUGCAAGAAUAGCCAAAUGUGCUGGUCUAAUCUGGUACCCCCUCGCCCCCUAGGUCAUUUAACGGCGGCAUGCACGGGGAGGAUCUUUGUAGGCAAGGAAGGGAGCAGGAGGAAGAGGAGGAGAAGGGACGCUUCCGUCGUUCCCUCAACCUCUCUGCCUCUCCUUUCUCUUUCUCUUGGUGGCCGCCCCUUGUAACAUUUGGCAUCCAUCCAACUGAUCGGAGCAUCGCCGGCAUCCAUUCCCGGUGGAACCGAUGAUGCAGGGAAGCCCCCUGAGUCCCGAUGAGCACCGGCUGACCUCGCCGCCGAGCCUGCACCAGCCGGCGUCGACCAUCGUCGUUGCCAUCGACCGGGACCGCAACAGCCAACUGGCCAUGAAAUGGGUGGUGGACCACCUCCUCUCCGGCGCCUCCCAUAUCAUUCUCCUCCACGUGGCGGCCCACCCUCCUGCAGCCAACCAUGGAUUUGCCAUGGCUGAGACGACGCAGGACGCGCUGGAGGCUGAAAUGAUGGAGAUCUUUGUCCCCUUCAGAGGAUUCUGCUCUAGGAAUGGGGUGCAAGAAUCGGAGGUGAUACUGGAAGAGGCAGACGUCCCCAAGGCCAUCAUAGACUACAUCAGUGCCAACAAGAUCCAGAGCAUCGCGCUGGGCGCGUCCAACAGGAACGCAUUCACCAAGAAGUGGAAGAACCCCGACGUGCCCUCCAGCCUCAUGAAGGGCGCGCCCGACUACUGCAACAUCUACGUGGUCGCCAAGGGCAAGCCCGUCAACGUCAGGCUCGCCAAGUGCGGCGUGCCGGCCGACGACAGCGACUUCCUCCUCGCAACCUACUCCAGGAGGAGCUCCAGGAGCCAGCUGCCGCCGGUCUUGCCCGACUUUUUGUCCUCCAGCAGGCGCUCCAUCGACAGGCCCGAGCUCACCACGCGCCCGCCGUUCCGCGAGCGGCCCCUGCAGGCGUCCGCGACCAAGCCCCACCUCCUCUUGGCAAGGAUGGACAGCACCACGCUGCGCUCCAACUCCCACGACCCAUCCAGCCUCGACCCCGACUUCGCACAGGCCGUGCAUUUCCCCUCCAUGGACUUUGGCGAGAACAUGGACGCGCUCCCCCUCAGCCCCCGGGAGCCCGGCACGCCCCUCUCCGCCGUGAGUUCCUCCUACCUUCCUUCCUUCCUGCUUGCUUCCUUCCUUCCUUUCCCGUCGAGAUCGAUCCAUGCAUGAUCGAUCCAUGCAUGCAUGUGCUUAGCUUAUUAGUUGGUACGUGUAAAAAAGGCCCAGCGCGAGGUGGAGGCGGAGAUGAGGCGGCUCAAGCUGGAGCUGAAGCAGACCAUGGACAUGUACAACGCAGCAUGCAAGGAGGCCAUCAACGCCAAGCAGAGGGCCAAGGAGAUGCACCUGCUCAAGAUGGAGGAGGCGCGGCGCCUGGAGGAGGCCCGUCAGUCGGAGGAGGCCGCAUUGGCGCUCGCCGAGAUGGAGAAGGUCAAGUGCCGCGCCGCCAUGGAGGCUGCCGAGGCCGCGCAGCGUCUGGCCGACCUCGAGGCACAGCGUCGCCGCAACGCCGAGGUGCGCGCGCGCCGGGAGGCCGACGAGAAGGUGCGCGCCCUGGACGCCAUCGCCAACCACGACUUCCGCUACCGCAAGUACAGCAUCGACGAGAUCGAGAUUGCCACCGAGGGCUUCUCCGAGAGUCUCAAGAUCGGGGAAGGCGGCUACGGCCCCGUCUACAGCGCCAGCCUCGACCACACUCCGGUCGCCAUCAAGGUGCUCCGCCCGGACGCCCAGCAGGGCCGGAAGCAGUUCCAGCAGGAGGUGGAGGUGCUCAGCCGCAUCCGCCACCCCAACAUGGUCUUGCUCCUCGGUGCCUGCCCGGAGUACGGCUGCCUCGUCUACGAGUACAUGGAGAACGGCAGCCUCGAGGACCGCCUGUACCGUCGCGGCGGCACGCCGACGCUCCCGUGGAGCCAGCGCUUCAGGAUCUCGGCUGAGAUCGCGACGGCUCUGCUGUUCCUUCACCAGACCAAGCCGGAGCCGCUGGUGCACCGAGACCUCAAGCCGGCCAACAUCCUGCUGGAUCGCAACUACGUGAGCAAGAUCAGCGACGUCGGGCUGGCGCGCCUCGUGCCACCGGCGGUGGCGGACAGCGUCACGCAGUACCGGCUGACGGCCACGGCGGGCACCUUCUGCUACAUUGACCCGGAGUACCAGCAAACGGGCAAGCUGGGCGUCAAGUCGGACAUCUAUUCUCUGGGCGUGCUGCUGCUGCAGGUUAUCACCGCGCGGCCGCCCAUGGGGCUCACGCAUCACGUCGAGAAGGCCAUCGAGUCCGGAACCUUCGCACAGAUGCUGGACAUCACCGUCAAGGACUGGCCCGUGGAGGACGCGCUGGGGUUCGCCAAGCUCUCGCUCAACUGCACGGAGAUGCGGCGGAGGGACCGACCGGACCUCGGCACCGUCAUACUGCCGGAGCUCAACCGGCUCAGAAACCUCGGCAUCGCCUACAACCAGGCGCGCGCCACCGUCCCUGCUGGCGACAGCAGUUCGCAUGGGGACGGGAACGGGCAGGAAGGGGUCAGCUCACCGACGGCUGACGCGGGGUUGUGGAGAACGGCGGAAAGCUAGCAUUGGCACACAUACACAGGGUUGUCUGUAUAUUAGCUCCGUUUCAGAUAGAGAGUGAGCUUAAGUAAUUACUGUACAAGAGGAGAGGGGCAUUAUGAAUGCCCACGUUCUUUUUGAG